CCUACGGGAGGCAGCAGUGGGGAAUUUUGGACAAUGGGCGAAAGCCUGAUCCAGCAAUGCCGCGUGAGUGAAGAAGGCCUUCGGGUUGUAAAGCUCUUUUGUCAGGGAAGAAACGGUGGGAGCUAAUAUCUCCUGCUAAUGACGGUACCUGAAGAAUAAGCACCGGCUAACUACGUGCCAGCAGCCGCGGUAAUACGUAGGGUGCAAGCGUUAAUCGGAAUUACUGGGCGUAAAGCGUGCGCAGGCGGUUUUGUAAGUCUGAUGUGAAAUCCCCGGGCUCAACCUGGGAAUUGCAUUGGAGACUGCAAGGCUAGAAUCUGGCAGAGGGGGGUAGAAUUCCACGUGUAGCAGUGAAAUGCGUAGAUAUGUGGAGGAACACCGAUGGCGAAGGCAGCCCCCUGGGUCAAGAUUGACGCUCAUGCACGAAAGCGUGGGGAGCAAACAGGAUUAGAUACCCUGGUAGUCCACGCCCUAAACGAUGUCUACUAGUUGUCGGGUCUUAAUUGACUUGGUAACGCAGCUAACGCGUGAAGUAGACCGCCUGGGGAGUACGGUUCGCAAAGAUUAAAACUCAAAAUUGAAUUGACGGCNGAGAGNGCGAGACGACACGAGGAGGAGG
RNAcentral lists this ribosomal RNA (619 nucleotides) under uncultured bacterium. RNAcentral describes it as "bacterial SSU rRNA". It matches the Rfam family "Bacterial small subunit ribosomal RNA", at positions 338 to 944 of the family's 1533-position model. The record is from RNAcentral.